Molecule: long non-coding RNA, 2226 nt
Organism: Cyprinus carpio carpio
Lineage: Eukaryota; Metazoa; Chordata; Actinopteri; Cypriniformes; Cyprinidae
Source: Ensembl
AUGGAUCUCAGCAGCCAGUCUUUCAAUUUGCCUCCAGGGGCCUGCAAUUCAUCUGAGAAAUCAGCAAUGUUGCUGCCAGCAGCACCACCACCAGCAUACCAGGACAAUCCUGCUGGAUAUCCUCACUCCUUUCCAAGCCAGCCAAUCCCCCAGGGCCCCUACACCCAGGGGUCGUAUCCAGGACAAACUGUGGUCGCUGUACAGCCUGCAGUUUUUGUGACUGCUGCUCCACUGGCCAAUCCAGUGCCAGAUUACUUGGGUUACUCCAUCUUUACCAUGCUGUGCUGCUGUUUACCUCUGGGAAUUGCUGCGCUGAUUUACUCCUGCUCUACUCGAAAUGCCAACUACUCAGGACAACGAGAAUUAGCAGAGAGCAACUCCAAAACGGCACGCACCCUGAAUCAUGUCGCUCUUACAAUUGGUCUCAUUUUGAUUGUAUUGUAUAUUAUUUGUAAUGUUGUGAUGUUUAAAAAUGUACAACAGUAUCCAUAACUGUUACACCUAUCAUGGUUGGACGCAGAUUAUACAAACAUUUUCAAUGUUUAAAAUGUUAUUUGCUUAAUGUGUCAAUAUUCACUCAGUUAAAACAUGCUGUGAAGGCGGAUUAUUGGAUGUUUAAAACAAUAAAAGCUUGACCAACUAAAAAACAGCAUUUAUUUUUGUUUUUGUUUAUUAUAUUGCAUAAGUAAUUAUUAACAGAUAUUCCUACAGUAUAGUGCAUGAGCCACAUUUUAGCAAACUGUAAAAAAACUAGACUAACCCUUAGAACCAAGUUGUUACCACAUGAAAUGGUGUCUGACAUUUAACAACUAUACCUGCAACUUUACGAGAAAUUAAUUUCUUCAGAAAAGCAUGACAACCAAAAUUACAAAACAAAGACAGUUGGUUCCCAGUGAUCAAAUAACUUUUGCUCAAUAAUAGGUCAAUAGAUUUGUAAUGUAAACAUGGAUCUUUAAUAAAUACUGUAGUGAAUUCUAAACAGUAGAGAGUUGUCAUUCUUGUUUUGUAAGUGAAGUGAAAGUCAUGACAUUUGCCAAGUAUGGUAACCCAUACUUAGAAUUGGUACUCUGCAUUUAACCCAUCCAAGUGCACACACACAGCAGUGAGAAGUGAACACACCGUGAACACACACAUGGAGCAGUGGGCAGCUAUAUUCAGCGCCCGGGGAGCAACUGGGAGUUCAGCGCCUUGCUCAAGGGCACUUCAGCCAUGGGUAUUGAGGGUGGAAGAGAGCACUGUUCAUUAACUCCCCACCACCAACAACUCCUGCCAGCACCAAGACUCGAACAUGCGACCUUCAGGUUACAAGUCCAAUUCUCUAACCAUUAGGCCAUAGCUGCCCCAAAGACGUUUGACAAAAGAAAAUAUUGUAUAAUGCUGCGUUAGGUUCUUAGGUCAUUGUUUUAUGACAGCAUGUACUUGUUUGGUGAUAACCUCUGCUAGUGUCAUAGAAAAAUGAGUUGAUCUGAGACAUGUAUGGAGUGUUUUAGUAUUUGUGUCCUAAGAUUUUAUUUUCCUGAGCUCAUUGUGUUACAUAUUGAUUCCACCAGGUGGAACCUGCAGUAAAACUUGAGAAGUUACAGUAAAUUUAAUCUAUGCGAAAAAGUUUGGCAAUCCUCCUCUUAAAAAAACAGAAAGCAUUUGCUAAAUUCGUAAAUGUUAAUGUGAGAGCAUACAAAUCAGGGACGUUGUGUCUGGAUAUGCAUGGUAUGCAUAUGCAUGGCUGAAUGUGAUUUCUCAAAGUACAACAUGUUCCUGGAUCAACAUCUUUGUCCCAAACAACCAAUCAGAUUUGAUGAGCACGUUUACAGGUAAUAUCAGUUUUUGUUUUUCAACAAGGGUUAGGUGCUUCUGCACCCCUGUUGUUCAGCAAUCAUUUCCCUUUGAAUUUAGGGAUAAAUUAUGGGUAGGGUUAGGUUAAGGGGUAGGGAUUGGAUUAGGUCCGACAGUAAUGUUGUCCCAGGAUCAAAAAAAGAUGGUGAUCCAGCAACACAUAUGAGUUGGCAGAAUCACAGUGACCGCACAUGCAUUGAUUGGGGGCCCACCGAGGGGGACCUUUUAAUUAAAACGAGGGAAUGUAUUUCUAGACUAGAGGCAGUAAAACUCAGACACCUUUUAUUCCUUUUCACACAAAUUUAUAAAGUUUUGAUUAAUAAAGCAUAAUUUUUGCACAAUUACUUGAAGAAAAUCAGAUUAUGAAUUCAAAAAAUAUUAAUAUGCUAGAAG